This 409-nucleotide ribosomal RNA is filed under the name uncultured prokaryote. Its description in RNAcentral is "bacterial SSU rRNA". It matches the Rfam family "Bacterial small subunit ribosomal RNA", at positions 355 to 776 of the family's 1533-position model. The record is from RNAcentral. RNAcentral also lists the same sequence under 1 other name.
UGGGGAAUAUUGGACAAUGGGCGAAAGCCUGAUCCAGCAACGCCGCGUGAGGGAUGACGGCCUUCGGGUUGUAAACCUCUUUCAGCACAGACGAAGCGCAAGUGACGGUAUGUGCAGAAGAAGGACCGGCCAACUACGUGCCAGCAGCCGCGGUAAUACGUAGGGUCCGAGCGUUGUCCGGAAUUAUUGGGCGUAAAGGGCUCGUAGGCGGUUUGUUGCGUCGGGAGUGCAAAUCCAGGGCUUAACUCUGGACUUGCUUCCGAUACGGGCAGACUAGAGGUAUUCAGGGGAGAACGGAAUUCCUGGUGUAGCGGUGAAAUGCGCAGAUAUCAGGAGGAACACCGGUGGCGAAGGCGGUUCUCUGGGAAUUACCUGACGCUGAGGAGCGAAAGUGUGGGGAGCGAACAGG